RNAcentral lists this ribosomal RNA (274 nucleotides) under uncultured bacterium. RNAcentral's name for it is "partial 16S ribosomal RNA". It matches the Rfam family "Bacterial small subunit ribosomal RNA", at positions 523 to 796 of the family's 1533-position model. The record is from RNAcentral.
AUACGGAGGGUGCGAGCGUUAAUCGGAAUUACUGGGCGUAAAGGGCGCGUAGGUGGUUAGGUAAGUCGGAUGUGAAAGCCCCGGGCUUAACUUGGGAAUUGCAUUCGAUACUGCCUGGCUUGAGUAUGGUAGAGGGAAGCGGAAUUCCGGGUGUAGCGGUGAAAUGCGUAGAUAUCCGGAGGAACAUCAGUGGCGAAGGCGGCUUCCUGGAUCAAUACUGACACUGAGGCGCGAAGGCGUGGGGAGCAAACAGGAUUAGAUACCCCUGUAGUCC